GACGAACGCUGGCGGCGUGCCUAAUACAUGCAAGUAGAACGCUGAAGGAGGAGCUUGCUUCUCCGGAUGAGUUGCGAACGGGUGAGUAACGCGUAGGUAACCUGCCUGGUAGCGGGGGAUAACUAUUGGAAACGAUAGCUAAUACCGCAUAACAGUAGAUGUUGCAUGACAUUUGCUUAAAAGGUGCAAUUGCAUCACUACCAGAUGGACCUGCGUUGUAUUAGCUAGUUGGUGAGGUAACGGCUCACCAAGGCGACGAUACAUAGCCGACCUGAGAGGGUGGUCGGCCACACUGGGAAUGAGACACGGCCCAGACUCCUACGGGAGGCAGCAGGAGGGAAUCUUCGGCAAUGGACGGAAGGCUGACCGAGCAACGCCGCGUGAGUGAAGAAGGUUUUCGGAUCGUAAAGCUCUGUUGUAAGAGAAGAACGAGUGUGAGAGUGGAAAGUUCACACUGUGACGGUAUCUUACCAGAAAGGGACGGCUAACUACGUG
RNAcentral lists this ribosomal RNA (495 nucleotides) under uncultured bacterium. Its description in RNAcentral is "partial 16S ribosomal RNA". It matches the Rfam family "Bacterial small subunit ribosomal RNA", at positions 28 to 507 of the family's 1533-position model. The record is from RNAcentral.